GACGAACGCUGGCGGCGUGCUUAACACAUGCAAGUCGAACGGAAAGGCCCUGCUUUUGUGGGGUGCUCGAGUGGCGAACGGGUGAGUAACACGUGUGUAACCUGCCCUUGACUUUGGGAUAACUUCAGGAAACUGGGGCUAAUACCGGAUAGGAGCCCCUGCUGCAUGGUGGGGGUUGGAAAGUUUCGGCGGUUGGGGAUGGACUCGCGGCUUAUCAGCUUGUUGGUGGGGUAGUGGCUUACCAAGGCUUUGACGGGUAGCCGGCCUGAGAGGGUGACCGGCCACAUUGGGACUGAGAUACGGCCCAGACUCCUACGGGAGGCAGCAGUGGGGAAUAUUGCACAAAGGGCGGAAGCCUGAUGCAGCAACGCCGGGUGAGUGAUGAAGGUCUUCGGAUCGUAAAGCUCUGUUGUUAGGGAAGAACAAACGUGUAAGUAUCUGUGCACGUCUUGACGGUACCUAAUCAGAAAGCCACGGCUAACUACGUG
This 488-nucleotide ribosomal RNA is filed under the name uncultured bacterium. Its description in RNAcentral is "partial 16S ribosomal RNA". It matches the Rfam family "Bacterial small subunit ribosomal RNA", at positions 28 to 507 of the family's 1533-position model. The record is from RNAcentral.